Molecule: long non-coding RNA, 5086 nt
Organism: Brassica napus (rape)
Lineage: Eukaryota; Viridiplantae; Streptophyta; Magnoliopsida; Brassicales; Brassicaceae
Exons: 2
Source: RefSeq, a predicted model, not a curated record
AAGUUCCAUUGGCAAUCUCAUCGUGAUGAUUCAAAUAAUAUAUGAUCAAUCUACAUUCUAGUUCCAAAUGCUAUAUCUUAUCCACGACACAGUUUCUCUAUCUAAACAAAAAGAAGCAUCCUUGAAUAAAAUCAAGAUUAGAAUCAAAUAAAUUUAAAAACUUGAUACGAACUUUAGCAACUUGAAUGUUGAUUGAGUCUGGGAUCUCUCUUUGAAGAAGCACACCAUCGGCAUUCCUCACUAUCUCAAGCUCAUCAUCGCUCAUCUUCUCAGUCCACCCUCUCAUAUUAGCACCACCUACAAUAAUGAUCGAGUUCUGUCCGUCCAUUUCACAGAGAAAAUGUAAGAGGAUAAGCCUCAUAAGUUCGUUAUAAUUCCUGAGAAAAGAAAGUUACCUUGAUAUCAGUGAGAAUAUGGAAGACACCAUACCGUGCACGAUAUCAAUAGCUGAACAAAUUGUAUGUAACUGGUUUUAUUGUGUGUAAUCCAGACUACUCGGAUUACUAUGAUAACUGGUUUUAUUGUGUGUAAUCCAGACUACUCGGAUUACUGGGUUUAUUAUGUGUAAUUCAGAUUACUAAGAUUACUUGGUUUUAUUAUGUGUAAUUUGAAACUCUUGUAUAUUGCAAGUAGUGCGUAUAUUUAACAUAUAGAAUCCAUAUAUUAUCUAUUAGUAGACUAUCUAUAUAGUAAAUAAGACUAUUAAAACUAUUUAGAUAAUUAUUUUCUAUAGUUUUAGGAAUAUUUAUUAGUUUCCCAAAAUGAUUCCUUAACUUUCAUGGUUGUUGUAUGAAUCAUAAGGCUUUAAUAAGAAUAAUCUAUAAAAAUACUUAUUUCUCGUAAACUUUAUAUGUAAUACUCUUAAUUAAUGACAUUCACUGUAUAAAAUCACUGGUUUUACUACCAAAUAUUUCAUCUGGACAUAGUUUUACUAAUAAAACUUAAAAUUUGCCAAAGUAUUACUAUGUGUAAAGUAGUUUUACUACUACCUUGAAGUUUACCAAGAAUUACUAAGUAUAAUUAAAAUGUUAAAUUUAUGUAUAUAACAGCUGCACGUUUUACAUGAUUACUUUUUAAAUUAUUAUUUUAACAUGUAUUAUGCAUACACUUUUUACAUGAAUCUUUUUUAAAUUAUUAUUUUAAUAUAUGCUAUGCAUAUACAUUUUAUAUGAGUAUUUUUAUAUUAUUAAUUUAACAUGAGCAAAACAAAACGAAUUUUAUGAAGAGAAAUUCUUUUGGAUAUCCUUUUGGAUAUACUUUUUUAGUUUAUUUUCACAAAAAUACUUUUUCGGAGAGAAAAAUGACCAAAAUAAGUUUUAUUAAAAGGUAAAAUAUGCAUUUAUACAUCUUGGAUUAACUAAUCUUGACUUAGGGUUUAGAGUUAAGGGUGGGGUUUAGGGAUGGUUUCAAAUUAUAAAAAAUAAAAAUUAAAUAUUAAAAAUUUCAAAAUAAAAAUACUAUUUUGGUCAUUUUAUUUUUUGAGAGCUAUUUUUGUGACAAAAAAAUUAAAAAAAACUAUUUGAGAGAAUUGCCAUUUUAUGAAACAUAAAACGUUUUAAAAAUCUAAAAUAAGAAGAUAAAUGUUUUUAAUCAAAAUAACAAUGGGGAUUAAUAAAAGAUAAAAGGAGAAUGUGUCACAUCUAAAGAAGAUAAUGAAAACUAUACUAAUCAAAAUUGAGUGUAUAAUUAAAUAUUAACAUUUAUUUAAAUAAAAAAUAACCAAAAAUAAAUAAACGAUAUAUUUAAAUCUUUUUCUAUAUUUAAUAUGAUGUGAUUACAAAACUGUAUGUGUUCAUUUAGUAGUUACGGUUCGACAACUCGCCUCCCUGAUAUUACAGAUCCAAUACCAAUACUCUCACAACGCUCAAAGAACUGCUUAGGACCUUCCGCUCUUCUCGAAGACUUUUUUUCUCUGGAAAAUUGUGCAAGUUAUCUUGAUCGGCUUCUCUGUCAGCCAGAACACACGGCCUCUCCUUUCUCUGUUCUCCUUAUCAGCACGCUUCCGCUGCUCUCUUUGCAUCUUGAGCAUCGUUUUAUCAUCGCAAAGGUCAUUUUGAUCAGCAUUAUAAUCACUGCGUGAAGCAACAUAAUAAUAAGUCAAGAUUCUUUUUUCCUAAAGCCUAAAGGAUAUAACUAUUAGCAAAAAGCAACCACCACAAUAUCAUAGAGAGAGACAGACAUACAAACCUGCCCCAUGUCACCAAGUAACGUCUGCAAUGUUAUUAAAAGUGGCUUAGAGAUCUAAAAGAAUGAAGGGCAGAAGAAUCCUUCAUAGAGAAACUAAUAGUUUAACUUACUAAGCAUAGAGGCUGAGAUGUCAAGACCUAUCCAUCGGUGCCCAUUCUCUGAGAUUGUUUCCCCGCUCAGGCCAGAUCCACAACCUGAACCACAAUUAUAGAUUAUUAGUCACUCUCUGCGUUUGCAACAAAGCCAAAGAGUUAAGAUUGCACAAUGUCGAAAGAGAUACUAAAAAGUAAAACAAUUGAUGAUCGGUCUAAAAGAAAAAAUCUUGGGAUAGGGCUACAUCCAUUCAACGUUUAGAAACACUACAAGAAAACAUAUUUUUUACUAGGACAGUAUUCGUUGUAAAUUCGUCAUAAACGGAGUGUUACAACGAAUUAACCUCGAAAGAAGUUUCGUUGUUAAACGUCCGUCGUAACGGAGGUUUCUUCGUAAACGACUCGUUACGUUUACGACAAAAUAUAUUCUUCGUAAAGCGCAGGGAAAGAAUUCGUCGUAAACGACACGUAAGAUUUCGUGGUAAAACCCACGUAAUGAUUUCGAUGUAAAGCACAUGUAAAUACUUUCGUUGUAAAUCACUCGUAAACAUUUCGAUGUAAAACCCUCGUAAAUCUUUCGAUGUUAAUCACUCGUAAACACUCGAUGUAAACUCCAUGUAAUGUUUACGAGGAGUUUACAUCGAUUCUUAUUAUAUUAUUAUUAAUUAGUAUAUAAUAAAUUUUAAUUUAUAUUUAAUAUUCAGAAUUUAAAAUAAUUUAAAUUUUAAAACGAAAUAUAAAAUUGAAAAACAUAUUUUAAAAAUGCAUUUAAAAGUCAUACAAUAAUAUUUAAAUUCAUAAUCAUCAUCAGUAGAUUAAAAAGAUAAACUUUACCAACAUGUCAAGUAGGAAUCGGGUUGACACUGUUAGCGUUUAGGUUACUGAGAAGAUUAGUAGUGAUUAUCAACAAUCGGGUUUUUUAAAGAAUUGAUAAUAACACAUAUGAACAUAAGUGAUUCAAGCUAGGAAUCAAAGAAGGUCCUUACCUGGGUGACUGAGUUUCAAAGAGACAGCUGAGAGAUCAUGGGAAGAAGAAGAGCGGUGAAGAAUGUUUUUAGGGUUUAGUAUAAGACGGGGAAAACUUUCCAAACUUGCAAUUGAUGAUUGUGGCUCGUAUAUCUGUCGCAAUAGAAGAGAGUUGAGAUGGAGAGAUGGACCAAAUGGGAGGCUUUCCCGAGCAAGAAGAAACUAGGUUAGGAUCCGGGUUUUAACCCGUUUAGGUUUGGGUGGACCGGAUAGAUUAGGUUGGAUCUAAUAAUAAACUCAUUUCAUUAACGGUCUUUUCGACUUUACACGCUUUAUGUAUUUAAAUUUAAUUCAAAAUAAAUUAUUAUAUAUUAUUUUUAAUAACAGGGAUAUAUGGGGAAUUUACGAGAACCCUUGAGGCAUAUUGAGUUAAAGUCCUCCAUUUUUCUCCAUAAGAAUAAAAAUCUAUUUAUUUUUUUAUCUUUUAUGAUUCCAUACUCUUAUAUCUCUCCCUCCAUCUCCGCCGAUUCAAUCUCUUAACUUUCUCAUUUCCCUGUAAAAAGGAAGAGCCUUCCUUCUCCUCCUUCAAUUCCACCAUAAAACCCUAGAAUAAAGCUCCAUCUUUUAACUUCGUAAUGACAAAAUCUCAUCUCUGUUUCCUCCUCUCCUCACUAAACUUCGCAGCUUCUCAGACCAGCGUCGACGCUCAACUAUGCAAGCCCUCAAAUCGAGCCUAAACCUCACUAAAAGACGUAGACUGGUCCAACCCCAACCCUUGUAAAUGGCCAACCGUUCAAUGUGACGAAAGCAACAUAGUCACGAGAAUCCAACUCAAAACGAAAGGAAUCCAAGGAACCCUCCCUCUGAAACCAGAGCCAGAUCUCUCCGGUUUAACCCGGUUACAGACCCUCUCCACCCAAGAAGCUUACCUCGAGAACAACCCUUUCUCUCCCUGGGAGAUGACCAUGGACAAGCAGAAGACCGGGUUAGCCAUCCACAUUUGCUACAAGUCUAGCUAAUUUUCUAUUUUUUAACUUAUGUACGUAUAUUAGCAACAUACACUUGGCAAAUACCUUGCUACCAUUCAAUUUUAUCUGUCAUUUACAAUGUCUAGACACACAAUGACUCUGCUUGUAUUGCUAAUCGUUUGUUUGUACUAUCAGAUAAGCUUGCAUCUGAAUUGUAUGUCAACUGGACUUAGUCUGCCAAAUAGACGUAUAGCCUGCCUCUUCUUUUGUUUGCUUGCUACUUGUUUUAUUAUCCUCUAUGUUUCUGUUUGAUGGCAGGUACUUUUCCACAAGUUAUGAUUUUCUAAUUACUAGUUAUGAACGUAUAGAAACUUUGCUUCCUCAGUUGUUCUGAUAUAUGAAAAUUCUUGUUAUUUUGAGAGAUAGAGAGAUAUCUGAACCAAAGUCCGGCAUGAAGUAAUGGGGGGGAAAAGGCAAAAAAGGCAACGUUCAUUUCAGGAACAGAGGCUGCAAAGAAGUGUUUGACUGUUUUCAAUCUUCAAUAGUUUUAGGAGUGUUCUAUUGUUUUUACCAUCAUCGCUCGUCACCACCACCACCACGACCACAACAGUUCGACCUCUCUGCCUCUCUCUCUCUAUCUGUUUUGAACUCAUUUUGUCGUGAGCAGAGGAUCAGUUCCUUGCCUCUCCUUGGGGUUGAUCAAUUCUAGAUAUAACCAGAACUUAUAACUCUGGUUGCUACUUUUGUCAUUAAAUAUGUUAACUAUUUAUGUUAGACUAGCAUUUAAACAGAAUUGUUAGGUUUUUUUGUGUUGCUAAUAUAUGUACUCGAUGUCCAAUAUUUAAGGUCAGAAAAAAAAAUAUUUUUUAAACU